Molecule: unclassified non-coding RNA, 22 nt
Filed under: Mus musculus (house mouse)
Lineage: Eukaryota; Metazoa; Chordata; Mammalia; Rodentia; Muridae
Description: oocyte_clustered_small_RNA2369
Source: RNAcentral
UACUCGGAGGCGCAGAAAGUCU